CUGAAGUUGCGUAUCUUACAUUGACAUCACCCCCACCCCCUCCCACAGUGUAGACCAGCCCAAAGGCAUUUGGCAUGGGUUGCACAAAAAAGUACCAAGGGGCUCAGACAGGCUUGUAAAGCUUGGGCCAAGGCAUCCUCAAUGCUGUUAGUAAGCCAGCUAGAGUUUAAACAGAACCAAGUCCGGGAUAUCUGUCAGUAUGGAAUCAUUUGCUCAAACCUGUUGUGCACCACUUUUCCAAAUACAGUAUAACUAGUUGCCAGAACUCAUUCACACAGUACCCCCAAAACUACCGUGAAGAGAAUGUUUAACUGCAGGCAGUCCCAUGUUGUCAUUUAACACCCUUUCAGUUAGAAAAAAUACUAUGCUCUGUCCCAAGGAGAAAUAUGUAAUUGAAUCCUUUGUCAGGUCCUAGAUUAGAGCAGUUUGGGGUCCACACCUUUUUUUGUCAACAGGCUUGAGCAGGUGUAAACUGCCAGCCUAGGGCUGCACUUCAGGGGGAAAACAUACAUGCAGGAAAACCACCUCACCUCCCCAUGCAGAGUGGCUGGCUAAUUGUUCCUACUGCAGCACCCCCCUUUGUAAGUGUGACCUCUUCACUUCCACAGCCUCUUAUUACGGUUAAGGGAAAGGCUAUUCGUCACCAUGGAGAUUACUACUUUCACAUAUGCUUAAUUACAUUCUUCUAUUACUCCUUAAAAAUUGCCCAUUUUCUCACUAUUAGCAAACAAAUAAAAAUGACAAUUUUCUGUCCCAGCAUGCCUUCCUGCACUUAAAAAUAAGUGAUGUAAAUAUGCUUAUGCACAGAAAACAGCAGCUACACCUCAUCCAUGAAAGUACAUAUUGAACAGGGAGACACUUUCCAUUUGGAUGCCUGAUCAGACUAAGUAUUUCCACAUUAAAACUAACCACACAGGAUCACUCAGUCAUGGGUCAAUGAAUAGAGAAGUUUGACUCAAACUUUCAUGCCUAAAUCAAAUUUCCAGACACUCUGCACAUCAGUCUCAUGUCAUUCAAUCUGCCAGACCCCCAGUGAGGAACAUAAUUAGUUGUACUUUUCUAUAACCUCAGUCUCAUGAUUCUUUAGGUGGAUGAAUUCAUGAUGUAAAGACAUUUUCAACAAUAAAAGUGCAGGGAUAUCACUGGGACUAAAAUGAAAGCCAGUUAAGAAUUAUUUGUCUCAAAACAGGCAAAGGUCCAAUGGAGAGCCAAUAAAGCCAUCUAGACUGUAGUGCCAAAGCAAACUUUUGUGCACUACUGCAUUACUGGACUGGAGGUCCAGGGUGCCCACUAUCAUCAAUGGAGGAAAAUAUAAAAGACUCCAGAUGUCCAAUUCAAUCCUUAUUUGGAUGUGGGGUCCUCCAAAAGACAGUUCUGUAAGCAAGCUAGCAUGCACCCAAAUAGGGUGAGAAACUAUACUGAAAAUAUGCUCUGCUCCCCACAUCUGAGGACUUUCUGCCCUUCCCAUGCUUUGCUGAAGGUCGUGGAUCUGAAGGAGGAUGUGAAAUGUCUUGCAACAGGGCCAGGGAAGGAGAUAUGGAGGCCUGAAAAAAUGCCUUUUGAUUCAAAAUGGAUCCUGGAUGAUUCAGACUUCAUUACUAAGUCAGUGUUCCUCACCUGUAGUUCUCCUGGGUCCUGCAUGCAGGGAGUUCAUGUGACUGAUGCCCAGAUCCCAGGAUUGCUCCUCACACUGCCAAAUAGAUCAGACAAGAGCAGGAGGCACUGAACAAUCUAUAAAGUUGUAUGAUGGGAACUAUGAGGAUCUGAGCUGCUCCUAUCUUCACUUUGAAGGAGCAGGGGACUGGAGAAGAAAAGAGCCUCACCUCAGACUGCUCUCCAACUCACAUUCCCAGCAGCAGCCAGAAGACGAGGGACAGAGAUGAGAAAUACCCCAUUCCACUCAGAAACUAGGAAGAAGGGAUAAUAGAGGGGGAAACAACAGUCUCACAGCCAGUUAGUUAUCCAGUUAGUUAUGCAACAUUAACAAAUGCAACAGCAAGGCUUUGUACCCUUACUACUUUGUGGCUCCCACAAAGCCAUUAAAAGACCAUACAGGUCUUCAGCUCUUAAAGGCACAUACCACGGAUUUGAUGGUACAGACCUGUGAAGGGAAUCUAAGUACGUCUAUUGCUAAUCAAAUUCAGACUAUACACAUUGUAUGGAAAUAACUUUUAAUUUAAAAAACCUUGCAUUGAAGAUUAUUGUAUCAGACAUUGAGGCAAAAUUUGAGUUUAAUUUGCUGGACAAACCAGUGUUAAAAAAAGGAUUUAAAAUAAAUCAGAAUGUGCAAUAAACUACAAUGUAGCAUAGGCAGUAGUGUUGAAACUUGACUGAACUUUUUUCUAAGGUCCAGCGUAUAUUUCCCAAUCUGACAGGAAAAAGUUUAAGUUUGACACUACUAACGGGUCAUCUGUCAGUAUUGGAUAUUACAAGCUGAGGAAAAAAUUUGUACAAGAACAGAGACUCCUAUAUAGUUGCCUUCAACUGUUGUACACAGAAAAACUUCCUGCUGACAGUGGUUUAUACAUACGUGCUACUGGUGUCGAAUUAUUGUUCUGCUACAAGAAUACUGCUAUAUCGUCAAUUCUUGUAUGCGUCGUCUUCUAUUAGCAUCACUUGAGGAUGCAGAUAAAUUCUAAAUACAGUAAUUCAGAAUGUAUGAGUUUAAACAAUUUGCUUUUAUUUUCUUAGAGUGUAAUGGCUGGGAAUUUAAAAAUCAAUCUGUAUUUAGAAACAUUAUGAAAGGUUUUUUUUAAGCCCUUCUGAUGUCCUUAUUAACAAGGUUUUCCUUUCUGGUUAGUCACUCUGCUUUUGCAUACUUGGUAGAACCUUGCAAGGUAUUGCUUAGAAAUCGUAACAACUAUACUUGUUGGUAAGAUACACAGCACACAGUUAUAAGCAGCAUUAGCUACUGCAGGUCUACGAGUUAGGUCUCCAAAUAUCUGAUGAUCCAAAAUGAAAUUCAGAGCUGCAUCUUCAUUUAAUUCAAUCUUCGUUUCCUCACCACUCCUAGGCUUCUCUGCUCCCCAUGUGACUGAAAUAGAAAACUGUCUACCUUUCAUAUAGUAGAGAAAUCAACUAUGGAAAUAUAGUGGUAUAUUUGUGUGUUAGUGUUUGAGGAUUUCUGCAUGAAACUAACAAUAGAGUUGAAUGAGUGACUCAUUUUAAGCCAAAUAUAAGGCUUCUGAAAGUGUCAUUUAAAAACUACUGGUAGUUAAAUAUUCAAAGGGAUUUCAGACAAGGCAGGUAUUUGCCACAUGCUCAUGCCACCAAAGGAAACAAUUUGAAAUUACCCCCUCCUCCUCACUGUCUUUUCAAGUAGUUUUUCUGUGUUUUGAAGUUGUUUGUUUAAAGGAAUAAAGUGUGUUCUGCUGUCCCAGAAUCCAUCAGAACCAUAAACACAUUUGAAAGAAAAAAAGGAAGAAUAUUAAAGAACGUGGCAAGAUGACAACAGAAAGCAGUAAACCGUGCCAGCUAUUUAGGUGUGCCCACUUUCAGCACAGGGAAUACUAGACUUCCAGCUCGAAAGAAUUAGUUUCUCUUGUGGUUCAGGAAGAAGAAAGUGUUGCGUUUGGGAUUUUAUCCUGCCUGUUACAAAGCAAGAAAGAAAAUAUAUUAUAUGCUGCUAAUGUACAGUAUUUGAAUGGUGCUGUUAUUUCUUGUGUGAACAACAGAGAUUUUACCUUA
Long non-coding RNA from Terrapene triunguis (Three-toed box turtle), 3687 nucleotides. RefSeq lists it as uncharacterized. The transcript has 2 exons. The record is from RefSeq and is a predicted model, not a curated record. Lineage: Eukaryota; Metazoa; Chordata; Testudines; Emydidae.